GACGAACGCUGGCGGCGUGCUUAACACAUGCAAGUCGAACGGAAAGGCCCUGCUUUUGUGGGGUGCUCGAGUGGCGAACGGGUGAGUAACACGUGUGUAACCUGCCCUCGACUUAGGGAGAACUUCAGGAAAUUGGGGCUAAUACCGGAUAGGAGCUCGUGCUGCAUGGUGGGGGUUGGAAAGUUUGGGCGGUUGGGGAUGGAUUCGCGGCUUAUCAGCUAGCUGGUGGGGGAGUGGCUUACCAAGGCUGUGACGGGUAGCUGGCCGGUGAGGGUGACCGGCCAGCCAGGCAGGGAGUGAGGGCCCGCACACACUCGUGAGGGAGGAGGGGGGAAUAUAGCACAGUGGGCGGAGGCAAGCCGGAGCAACGCCGGGUGCGGGAGGACGGACUGCGGGUUGUAAGUAAAUUUCGCUUGUGACGAAACAUGAGGGCCGGAAAUGGAGAAAGAGGCACGGGUUACUUACUU
Molecule: ribosomal RNA, 467 nt
Filed under: uncultured bacterium
Lineage: Bacteria
Description: partial 16S ribosomal RNA
Rfam family: Bacterial small subunit ribosomal RNA
Source: RNAcentral